UAGGGAAUCUUCGGCAAUGGACGAAAGUCUGACUGAGCAACGCCGCGUGAGUGAAGAAGGUUUUCGGAUUGUAAAACUCUGUUGUUAGAGAAGAACAAGGACGUUAGUAACUGAACGUCCCCUGACGGUAUCUAACCAGAAAGCCACGGCUAACUACGUGCCAGCAGCCGCGGUAAUACGUAGGUGGCAAGCGUUGUCCGGAUUUAUUGGGCGUAAAGCGAGCGCAGGCGGUUUCUUAAGUCUGAUGUGAAAGCCCCCGGCUCAACCGGGGAGAGUCAUUGGAAACUGGUAUGCUUGGGUGCAGAAGUGUAGGGUGGAAUUCCAUGUGUGGCGGUGAAAUGCGUAGAUAUAUGGAGGAACGCCAGUGACGAAGACGACUCUCUGGUCAGUAACUGACACUGAGGCUCGAAAGCGUGGGGAGCAAACAGG
Molecule: ribosomal RNA, 429 nt
Filed under: Gemmatimonadota bacterium
Lineage: Bacteria; Pseudomonadati; Gemmatimonadota
Description: Gemmatimonadetes bacterium partial 16S ribosomal RNA
Rfam family: Bacterial small subunit ribosomal RNA
Source: RNAcentral